UACAGAGGGUGCGAGCGUUGUCCGGAAUCACUGGGCGUAAAGGGCGCGUAGGCGGCUCAGUAAGCGUGCGAUGAAAGCCCGGGGCUCAACCCCGGGUCGGCCGUGCGAACUGCAGAGCUGGAGCACUGUAGAGGCAGGUGGAAUUCCGGGUGUAGCGGUGGAAUGCGUAGAGAUCCGGAAGAACACCGGUGGCGAAGGCGGCCUGCUGGGCAGUGGCUGACGCUGAGGCGCGACAGCGUGGGGAGCAAACAGG
This 253-nucleotide ribosomal RNA is filed under the name uncultured bacterium. RNAcentral describes it as "partial 16S ribosomal RNA". It matches the Rfam family "Bacterial small subunit ribosomal RNA", at positions 524 to 776 of the family's 1533-position model. The record is from RNAcentral.